Molecule: unclassified non-coding RNA, 317 nt
Filed under: uncultured Sordariales
Lineage: Eukaryota; Fungi; Ascomycota; Sordariomycetes; Sordariales
Description: sequence contains ITS1
Rfam family: 5.8S ribosomal RNA (bases 1-105)
Source: RNAcentral
GAAAUGCGAUAAGUAAUGUGAAUUGCAGAAUUCAGUGAAUCAUCGAAUCUUUGAACGCACAUUGCGCCCGCCAGCACUCUGGCGGGCAUGCCUGUCCGAGCGUCAUUUCAACCAUCAAGCCCCCCCGGGCUUGUGUUGGGGACCUGCGACUACCCGCAGGCCCUGAAAACCAGUGGCGGACUCGCUGCCGCGCCCGAGCGUAGUAGACUUUCCCUCUCGCUCAGGGCGGUGCCGCGAGGUUCCCGGCCGUUAAAACCUACCAUCAAAAAAACAAAAGGGUUGACCUCGGAUCAGGUAGGAAUACCCGCUGAACUUAA